This is a non-coding RNA of Heterocephalus glaber (naked mole-rat), 8105 nucleotides long. The record is from RefSeq and is a predicted model, not a curated record. NCBI's taxonomy places the organism in Eukaryota, Metazoa, Chordata, Mammalia, Rodentia, Bathyergidae.
CCUGUCUGCUGGGGAUGGAGCUCAGUGUAAAGGGCCUGGGCUCAAGGCAGGCAGGAAGGAAAGGGGUGAGUCUUGAGACACCCAGAGAAGAUCCUCGAGAUAUCCUAAAGAUAGGCCCAGGGGCCGGGCCAGAGCCCUGGAGGGUGCCGGCCUGCAGACUCUCAGCCCUGCCCGUCCUGCCCGGGAGCCCUGGUCCAAGUGGAGCUUUCUUGGCUGCACCCGAUUGUCCAACAGCUUCCGGUCUCCAGCCUCUGUUUCUUCCACGUGGGAACCAUCGGUCCCUGUGGAGCCCCGCAGACGGUGGGCAUGGAUUUCGGGGCCCCCCAAAGUGGAGAAAUUUUAGGUCAACUUUGAACUGGCCUAGAAUUUUGUGAUCAAAAGAUCUAAGAAGCAGCUCUUGGAAUUUUAGCUCCCAGGUCCUUUUGCGGCGCUGUGAGGAAUUACAUCUGGAGGGAGACUGCGGUCUUGUAACAUGGACUGCGGCCACUGGUGGGGAGGACAGCAGAGCGGGUCACCUUGGCACCUGUGCCACAGCCGCCUGGUGGUUUCCUGCUCUGGCUGGGACACGUGAGGGGAGGGAAACAAUGGCUUUGCCUUGGCAGAAAGGCGCUUCCUGUUUUGCUGCUGCGAUGCUCGGCACUGGGCACAGCCAGGGUGAGGCUUGGGUGUCUGUGUUUUUCAAGUUGCCAGGAUCCGAAGAGGGGGUUGGGGCCGGGGGGUGGAGGGUCCUAGGGCAGGUAAAGGAGGAGCAAGGCAGCUGGUUAUCUUUGCAAAACUGCUCAGCAACCCUUCCUGCCAUUGUCUUUUGGGCACCCGGAGAGGAUUCCUGCUGUCCCCAGCAGGUCCAAGCCAGAGCCCUUGUGUGUGGCUGAGGAUCACCCCAGAUCUCUGGCUGCCCCCUGCCCCCCGCCGGGAGAACCUUCCGCGGUGACCUUUAUUUUUGUUCGGGAAGGGCGACGGGAAGUCUGGGCUGAAGUAACCUCACUGCCGCAGCAGGGAUGGGAGUAAUGGGAUGGGUCUCCUGGCCAGGGGUGAGUUAGAAACCCAGGUGCCCAUGGGCGGAGCUGUGCAUCGAAUAGCUCAGGUCGCACGUCUUGGGUCCUAGACAGCCCAGGUGUCUGUGCUGAGCCUUUGACCGCUGCUGCAGGCAGGGGUGCAGCCCUUCCUCCUCUGGCUCCCUUGGGGACCAGACCCCAUGAUCCUGGCUGUUCUCUGUGGCCUAACCUUUGGGGACCCCUCUCGACCUGGCCCAUUUGACACUUGGGGUUUCCUUGUCUUGACUUCCUGGCUGUAUCCUUGUUUUGCUUCAACCAUUCUGGACCAACUUAGAGGUCUCCUCAAAGCACUUUCCUCCUCCUGGGGGUUUCCAUGUGUUUUCCUUUCAAGCUAAGCUGCUCUGGUUCCUCUGCCCCUGUUGGAUUUUAACUCGUCAUUCAAGGCCCGGCGGAAACAGCACCUGGCAUGUUCCUGCUGCCCAGUGCAGGGCUGAGUUAAACCAAAGCACGUGGCUAUGGAUCUGACCCCAAGGAGGCUCCACCUGGGGCUCAGGGAGGCUGGGCAGAGGAUGGAGCUCUGCCUCUGCAAGAUCAGUGUUGGCUUUGGGUCCCUGCCCUGGGGGCUUUCUGGUGGGAUGAGCGGUCUCCUCCUGGCCUCAGGGAGUGAGCAGACUGACAGGCAGGUCACGGGCAUCAAGGAGCUUCCAGAUGGGGGAAGGACGGACGCUAACACUUCCCUGCUGAAUUCCACCAUUCCAGAGAGGAGGAAGGCCAGGCCCAGAGUCGUUAAGGACUUUCCCAGAGGAGUCACCUAGAAGUCCUCUCCUCUGUGCCCUGCACCACACUGGGUCAACUGGGAGCUCCAUUCCGCAACCAGUGGACGCCCCAGGUCAAAUCCUUCUGCUGCCCCCACCCCAGCAAGGGUGGCAGCUCAGGGGGCCCGGUGUCAGGGCAGUGCCACUUCUGAGCCAAUCUACACCCGCGCUUCAAUGGCUGGGGAGGAGGCCUGGGCCUGUGUCCUGGCUUCGAGGAGGCUGGGAGUUUGAGUUUUUGUUGUAUCUAUUUUAUUUUACUUUUGGUACUGGGGAAAGAACUUAGGACCUCAUGCUUGCGAGGCAGGUGCAGCACCACUGAGCUACAUCCCCAGCCCGAGGAUGACUCUUCUUAAGAUGACAGCCAUAAACACAACACAUGCCCACUGUAGUGACUCACCCUAAAUGUCACUUCAAGUGUUCAUUUAUAUAGUCGAAUACUUCCCUCUUUUCAAAUCCCACUCCUUUCUUAAAAUGUGGUUUUGAGCAAAAAAUUUUUAUGACAUAAUUUAUGCAGGGUAUCAUUUACAUAUAGUAAAACCCACCCACUCUAGGGUACAGUUCUAGGUUUUCUUUUCAAGGAAACUCAUGCAGUAGCUCCAGUUCUGCUGGUCUUCCAUGCUCCACGAGAGAGUCCUGCCUCAGCCUCUCCCGUGGUCACUGAAAUGGAAUGAGACAUAUUGCCAGUGCUUUGCGGGGGAAAAGCCAAACCGAAGCCUACUAAAUUUCUAGAACCUUCUCUGAUUGGGCCCGUUGUUGUUCCAGAGCAGAAAGGGCAGAGGACAGAAGGCAGCUGUGUGUGACGCACAGGCCGAGAAGGGACAAAGAAAUUGGUGGCUUCGUUUGUGGGCGGGAGCAGGGGGCUGGGGCUCAGCGAAAAGAACUCUGGUUUCCGAGUCGGUCUUGGCCUCAAGCAAAUGUCCCGAUGCUUACGAUUAGUUUCACUGGUGGUAAAAAUACAGCCCAGAGCAGUUCUAGUCUGAGGGAGCCUGCAGUGUGAGGGGCCAUCACGUCAGCCAGGCACCUGGCCUGGGCAGCUUCUCGGCAGCGUGCGAUCCCUUCCCUCUGUCUUUCUCUCGCUGCUUGACUCACCGAGCCCGUUCUGGGUUUUGGCAUUUUGUAGAUUUGUACAGCUGAGACAUCCAAAAAUAACCUUGAAUUAUGAUGGGUUUGGUGCCGAGGCCCACUGGCAGGCACUUUUGUGUAAAUAGCAGAAGUGAAAAGGGAAAAAAAAGCGAUUUCAUUUCUAGCGUUUGAAACAAAGAGGCCCCCUUGCCGGCCGGGGUGAGAGGGCAGAGCUGGGAAGGAGGGAAGGUCGGGUAGUUUUCUUUGUUGUUUUUGUUUUUGUUCUAUGAUGAUGUGGGGGACUCUCCAGGGAUAUCACGGGGCACAGAGCAGGGCAGAAGGGGGUGGCAAAUGCAGGGCCCGGAGGGAAAUUUCACCCUGGCCCCGACGUCAUAGGGCAGAAGUAGGGGGCCGGAAAGAGGGCUGAGUGGGGAACAGGGCUGGGCACCAUCCCACCUUUCUGCUCCCCCUCUCAAGCACAGCAGGGAUGGUUCCUCAAUUCAUUUCUCAGUGAGUCUCUAGAGAAAGGUCAUCUUUGGGGACCGCGUGAUUCCUGAAAUGCUAGCACUGCAGAGGCAGGGUUUCAACGGUGUGUGUUUGUGGGUCCUGGGGACUCACGAAAAGAGAAGUCAGGGCCUGGCCAGCGUGGCCGUAGGCCCACACUGACGUCAUGGGUUGUUAUUAUUUUGUGGUACCGGGGAUCGAACUCCAGUCCUUGAGCUUGCGCAGCAGGCGGUGAAACCACUGAGCUAAAUCCCCGGCCCGUGUUGUUAUUAUUUUUAACAAAGCCUCUUCCCUCUUCCCAGCUUAGUUUUUUUUUUUUUGUGUUGGGGAUCGAAUUCAGGACCUUGCGCUUUUGAGGCAGGCGCGGUGCCACUGAGCUAAAUCAUCGGCCACCAGCCUAAUUUUUGACUGGUCCUCCAAUCUACGUGUUUUGGUCACUUUCUUCACUGCUGGGAUACGAUACCUGACACCCACAACUCAAGGGCGGACAGGUUUCUUCUGGCUCACGUUUCAGCCCACUGUCUGCUGGCUCCGAGGCAGGAUGAUAUGGCAGAGGGGCCUGGCAGAGGAGAGCGGCUUGCCUUGUGGAGGACAGGAAGCAGAGUGCUUCAAGAGAGGAGCCAGGGGAUUUAGCUCAGUGGUUCUGCCACCUGCCUUGCAAGCGCAAGGACCCGAGUUCGAUUCCCAGUAUCAAAAAAACCCCAAAAACAAAAACAAGAGAGGAGCCAGGGUGGGAGAUAAACCCUUCUGGGCCAUGCCCACAGUGACCUGACGCCACCCGGACAGCCAUCAGCUGUGAGGACCACAAUCUGGUCACCUUCCAAAAGCUCUGCCUGGGAUGUACAAGGCCUGGGGGGACAUCUAGGUAGGAACAUAACACUGUGCUUUCUUUGUAGGCUCAGCAAGAGGAAGUGAAUCCCCCAGGGCCCAGGACUGGAAAGGCCUUCAGUGAGGCUGGCACUGGCCAUUCUAGCAAGUUCUUGGCCGAUGCAGAUUGAUAGAACAUUUGCUUUUUGACGAAGCCCAGCCUGGCAGCUAGAGUUUGCAUGGCCCUGAGAUACUGCAUAAUCUUUCUCAUCAUCAUCAAUGUGCAAAGUACUUCGGUAUCAUCACCUACCUGACUUCCUGUGGCUGGAAGCCUCACUUCUGUGUUCACGACUCAAAGCUAGCUAUUCGCCAGUCUGCCUGGGCUGUCAGACCCGGGGGCAGCAGAGAAUGGGGACUGGCUUUGGAGGAGGGAGAGGUACUCUAGCCUGCCCUCAACCUGGCUCUGGAGCUGAGCCCUGCAAAAGGUACCCAUAAAAAAGAGCCACCUCCAUCUUUCAGUGGUUAAGGGGCAUUUGGGGGACAUGUUUGUGCGAAGCAUUUCACAGGUGCACUUACCCACUGGGCUGUAGAGAUAGCUCCUCUACCAGGUGGCAGGCCUGGGCCAUGCCUUAUUGGAUCUUGUGUUGUUGGGGCCGAGGACAGUCCUUGGCAUAUUAAAGGUACUCAGUAGUUGUUUGUAAGAAGGAUUCAUGCCUCACAAGAAAUCUGUGACUGGCCAGGCUCUUUCCCCAGCCCAGGCAGCAGAUUUGGACACAUUGUUGUUUCAGGGAUUUAGCAGCCCACCUCGAUUUAGUAAGGUGUACGAGUUGGACUUGUCCCCGUGUGCUUGGGACUUACUCCGGUGGCUGCAGGGGUUGGAUAGCUUCAGCGGUCAACAUCCCCGUUCAGUCCCAGGUAAAUGGGGACAGGGUUCUGUCAUAGCCGCUCACCCAGUUCUUGUCAUGCUCCUGUAGAGGGCGCUGGAGGUAAAGCACAGAAAGCAGAGGCCAGCGGACUGAGCCCUUCCGGGUGGAGAUGUGUCCCAUCCCAGGGGCACAGGCACCAUCAGACUCCAGGUUCUGUUUCCUGUCACGGUUCUUAGCACCCCCACGAGGGACACCUGGCAGGGAACCAGUGCUGUUGGAGGACAGGGCUGACCGUGUCAGAGAAGCUUGAUGCUUGCACCUCUUAUUUCUGACCUCGAGAAAGCAAACUGUGUCAAUAAACCGUGAUGUGUCUCGGGCUGCCGUGCUUGCAGAGGUGACCUCGCCAGGAGCCGUGACAAUCAGACCGGGGCAGGAACAGUGGGUACAGAAGUCUCACGCAGAGCAGAAAGCUGUGGGAACGUAGGAGAGGGCCAAGGGGGUCUGAGCUGACAGCAGUAAAGCCGGGACCCAGCCAGCUCCGUGUUCGAGGAGCUCUGCAUCCCCUCUUUUUCAGAAGUGAGGCCGCUUCUUUCCCUGAGUCUAGGACAGCUCUCAGAUGAGAGUCUUAUGACCGCUCCAAGAGGAGGCCAGAAAGUCCUUCCUGUCCCUGCCAUUUCUCUGAUCACUUCUGCCUAAGAAAGUCCAUAUCCCAAGACCCCAUAAUUGGGGGGUCACAUAUCCUGGGCCCCACCAACACAUCCCACCUCGGGCACUGGCCUGGCAGAAGCACAGGAGUCAGUACCGGCUCCGGGAGCGCAGAUUUCCCGGGCCCGCACGCAACGCCCAUGAGUGGCCGCCUGGUGCGUGCAGCUGCCCGGGGCUCGGCUGGGCUGCAGAGGCGUUAGGACAGAGGCUCUCGCGGCCCACUCUAUGUUGUUAAACCAGACUUGAGGCAACAACUGCAUUUCCUCAGGUGUGUGUGGGCACUGUUUUGUAAGGAUGCCCGGCUGGGGAUUGAAAAGCAGAGGUGCUGCUCACUCCUCGGGACACUGUUAGUGUGGCUGUGUGCGCCUGCACCCAUGUCUGGAAAAUGACUUAGUUAGGGUCCCCGUCUUUCUUCCUGUAUGAUGAAGAGAAGUUACUGGCUUCAAAGCCUUUCACCCUCUUAGAAAAUCACUUGAAGAACUGCAGGGAUAGGAGAAAAGCGUCGGUGCUCGGAGGGAGCUGCGGAGGAGAGGCAGCGCUGUGGCUCCCAGUCUGAGCUCUCACCCCGCAGUGGGGUGCCAUCACCCGUAGAGCCCCAGCAGGCAGACCCAGGUGGGAUGCUGUCUCCAUCCUAAGUUCAUCGUGUAGUUCUGGACCAGUUAUUUAACCUCCCUGAACCAAUGGUGAUGAUAUUCAUGACAUCCUCCUGAGAUCCAGGUGGGUGAAGGGAGAGAACAGGUAAGGUCUUUAGUCUAGACCUGGCCUUUGCAGGGUUUCAGCCUCUAUGUGUGUUGAGGGAGUGAGUUACUUCCUGUUCUUAACUUCAAGUUCCCUCUUCUGUUAAUCCACUGUUGUUUAGCUGGAAUGAUGCUGGAGUAGAUGAAGUUAUGGCUUUCAUUGGUUGCAUGAAACGUGAUCAAAAUACAGUGUGAAUGAUUAAAUUUUAAGAAAUUUAUUACAGUAAAGGACAUGUUGCCAUGAGUCCCCCUCAAUACUCCCCCGUCACUUUGAACACACAUAUGCCAUUGUUCUUGGCACUUUCUUUUUGUUUUUUUGGUACCAGGGAUCGAACUCGGGUCCUUGCGCUUGUGCAGCAGGUGGUGAAACCACUGAGCUAAAUCCCCGGCCCUUUCUUUCCACUUUCUGAAGGAGUUCUGGAGUCCUCUUUCGUGAGUGUCAUUACGAGUUGUGAUAAAAACAACUAUGGUGAAUGCUGAUGCCAAGUGCCAUUCAAGUAUGGAAAAGCAGGCUCAUAUAAACAUUACAGCGUGUCCUCAUCCACUUUAGUCACCAGGUAUGGCACCGUGCAACUUCGGGCUCUUCUCCAAAGUCUAAAUGAUCAUGAAAAGAAAAGUUUUGAAUCAAUUCAGGGCAUGGGGGCAGCCACGACAGUGCAAGUAAAGACAUUCCUGAAAGAGGACUUUCAGAACUGCUGCAGAAAGCAGCAAGAGCGAUGGAUAAGUGUGUUGGAAGUGAGGGGAAGGAUUCUGAGGGAGAUUCAUGGCAGUGCACUCUUUACUUUAACACAUUUUAAAAAAUGUAGUAAUCACCAUAUUUUAAAAAUCAAAUCUCAUAUUUAGAGACACUCAAUGAAUAGGUUUAGAUGUUUUGCAAGUUUUCACAGGUAUCCAACUUUGAACUGUCUUCACCCUCCUCCUCAUUAUCUACAACGAAGACCAACGGGCUGACCGCGAGGCGCCUGGCAAGAGACAAAGCACCCUGCACAUGUUCUCAUUUUCUUCUCACAUCCACUCCAGGAAACGGAUACUGCAGUAAUUUUUUCCCUCUUGCGCAGAUGAGAAAACUAAAAACUGAACUUGAACCACAAACUGUACUAAAACCUGUUCUCAACCUCAACUCUUUACUGCUUCUCUUCACGUGACUGAUUUCAUCUUUCACAGGUUGGAUCUUACUAGUUUCGCUUCUGGAGGACUCAGCAAUCUCCGGGUCCUGGGUUCUGGUUUCAAGUUGUCCGCAAACACUGCCAAGGACAAGAUGACUGGUGGUGCCACCAUGUGUUUCUGAAAAUAAGAAAGAACUGAAAAAUAAUCAGCCUUGAAAGCUAGAGAUAAAAAAUGCCAUGGCUGGGCAUUUAGCUCAGUGGUUCUGCUGCCUGCCUUGUAACCACAAGGUCCCGAGUUCGAUCCCUGGUACCCCCCCACCAAAAGAAAGCCAGCCCCAGGAAAACAGGCUGUCCACAUGCUGAAGAUUAAAUCUAGACCCACAUCUCUCACCGUGCACUAAACUAAAAUGGAAAUGGAUCAAAGAUCUAAAUAUAAAGACAGAAACAAUCUGCUGGAAGAGAGGUUAGGUGGAACUCUUGAAGACAUUGGCGUAGGAAAAGACUUUGU